UACAGAGGGGGCAAGCGUUAUUCGGAAUUAUUGGGCGUAAAGGGCGCGUAGGCGGUCGUGCAAGUGGAAGGUGAAAUCCCUCGGCUUAACCGGGGAACUGCAUCUGAUACUGGAUGGCUUGAGUUCGGGAGAGGGAUGCGGAAUUCCAGGUGUAGCGGUGAAAUGCGUAGAUAUCUGGAGGAACACCGGUGGCGAAGGCGGCAUCCUGGACCGACACUGACGCUGAGGAGCGAAAGCCAGGGGAGCAAACGGG
RNAcentral lists this ribosomal RNA (253 nucleotides) under uncultured bacterium. Its description in RNAcentral is "partial 16S ribosomal RNA". It matches the Rfam family "Bacterial small subunit ribosomal RNA", at positions 524 to 776 of the family's 1533-position model. The record is from RNAcentral.